This 788-nucleotide non-coding RNA is filed under the name Striatobalanus amaryllis. The record is from RNAcentral. Lineage: Eukaryota; Metazoa; Arthropoda; Thecostraca; Balanomorpha; Balanidae.
UUAAUUGUUUGGAAAUACAUUAUGUAGAUGGAAAACGUAGAUCGUUGAGGUCCGUGUUGUAUUCUUGGCUUUAAAAUAGAUCUACAUGUAAGUUUUAGCAGGUAAUGAUUAAUAAAAUAAAGUUUAUUAUGAAAUGCUCAGUAGAAAAUUUUAGAAAUAUAAGGAUUUUUUAUCUAGGCAAUUUUUUAGAAAUGGAUAAUGGAGUGCCAGCAGCCGCGGUUAUACUUCUGUUUCAAGUUAAGGUUGUUUUACAAAAUUAUGGAUUUAGAGUAGAAUUGAAGUUUUUUAUAAUUAUUAGGUAGAAUUUUAAUUAUAAAUAGUAACAUGUUUUAUUUUCAUAGAAAUUAUAGUAGGGACCAGGAUUAGAUACCCUGUUACUUAUAUUUAAUAAAUUUUGGAUUAGUAGUAUUAAUGAAAUUUAACGGAUUUGGCGGCAAGAUAGCCAUUUAGAGGAACCUGCCCUAUAAACGAUGAACCACGAAUUUCUUUACUUCUAUUAGUAAAUCAGUUUGUAUACCGCUGUUGUCAGUUAGUUUCUUUAGAAAGCUUUCGUUAUUGAAAAAUUCAAGGACUUCAAGUAAAGGUGCAGCUUAUGUAGAAGGUAGAGGUGGGUUACAUUUAUAAGAUUAAUACGGAUAAAAUUAAUUAAAAGGUUUUUGAAGGUGGAUUUAAAUGUAAGAUUUAAGAAGAUCUGAUGAAGGCUCUUUCUUGUGUACACACCGCCCGUCGCUCUCUUUAUUAAACGAGAUAAGUCGUAACAAGGUAAGUGUAAUGGAAAUUGUACUUGA